Long non-coding RNA from Cydia fagiglandana, 635 nucleotides. RefSeq lists it as uncharacterized. Lineage: Eukaryota; Metazoa; Arthropoda; Insecta; Lepidoptera; Tortricidae. The record is from RefSeq and is a predicted model, not a curated record. The transcript is spliced from 3 exons.
UCGCCACGUAGCUAGCCGUUCAUUUUGGAUUUGGAAGAGAUCGUAGCAAGGUGGUUCGUUUCCUUUGCCCAGCGGCCUGGUGCCGCCUGAUGGCUUCUAGCUAUAUCGCGGUUUAAGCCGCCUAAUCCUCGUUGGAUGUGAAUCGUCCUGUGCAGUUGAAGCCCCGGGUGCAUUGAAAUUAUGCAAGUCCUUUCCUACGCCCGCUUAUUGUCUGCCCCGGGGUUUCAAGAUUUACCGUCUUUAUUACAAGUUUACGGGGUGGCCUCAAGAUGCCAGCUUCUACAAGCCGAGCUACCAGUGGCAAGGAGCUGUGCCAGGCAUUUCCAUACUUCCACGCAGAGGUUCCUGGCCAACGUGGCGGUUGUAUUGUUUACGGUCUUUCGAAGUUUUGGAGGUUAGAUCGACCCUUUAUUUAAUAUUUAUUACUGAACCAGAGAUGCUGGUUCUGGCGCCCUCAUACCCUUAGUACCCUUUAAGUUUGUUUGUCAGUAGGCCGCUUCUACCAAAACAUUUUUAAAAAGAGUUCGCUAUACCCAUAACUGUUCCCUCAACACUUAAAUAAGAGUCUGAUGCUCAUGUUAUUUAGAUAAGAGCUAGUUUACCUUAAGUUCCUGUCAUUAAGGCCCUUAAGGCUC